RNAcentral lists this long non-coding RNA (323 nucleotides) under Salvia miltiorrhiza (redroot sage). RNAcentral's name for it is "long non-coding RNA (SMIL_LNC010014)". The record is from RNAcentral. Lineage: Eukaryota; Viridiplantae; Streptophyta; Magnoliopsida; Lamiales; Lamiaceae.
GCUCUUUUGCUCAAAAUUCAAAAUUUUCAAUAUUUUUUUUUUCAAAUUCAAAAUUAUAAUUCACAUUUUUCCCCACCCAAUUUUAUCUAAUUCACAUUUUUCCCCACCCAAUUUUAUCUAUAAAUACCCCCUUCUUCCACCUUCAAACUCACCCCAUUGUAUUAACAAUUCUACACUCUCUUCUCUUCUACUUCUAAUUCUCCUCCAUUCUUUGCUAUUGCUCUUGCUCUAUAAUUCUUUAGCUAUUCUCUUGCUUAAUUGCUUUACUUUAUUGUUCUUGUUUUACAUUAUAUUACUACUAGUACUACUACUAAGUACUAAAU